Molecule: ribosomal RNA, 253 nt
Filed under: uncultured bacterium
Lineage: Bacteria
Description: partial 16S ribosomal RNA
Rfam family: Bacterial small subunit ribosomal RNA
Source: RNAcentral
UACGUAGGGGGCUAGCGUUGUCCGGAUUUAUUGGGCGUAAAGCGCGUGUAGGCGGCCUGCUAGGUCUGGGGUGAAAACUCGAGGCUCAACCUCGAGAUGUCGGCUGAAACCAUCUGGCUAGAGUCCGGAAGAGGAGAAUGGAAUUCCCGGUGUAGCGGUGAAAUGCGCAGAUAUCGGGAAGAACACCCGUGGCGAAGGCGGUUCUCUGGGACGGUACUGACGCUGAGACGCGAAAGCGUGGGGAGCGAACAGG